This 104-nucleotide small nuclear RNA is filed under the name Procavia capensis (Cape rock hyrax). The record is from RNAcentral. Lineage: Eukaryota; Metazoa; Chordata; Mammalia; Hyracoidea; Procaviidae.
GCAACCAGGGUUUCUGCAGCAUAUGUUAGAAUGAUACAGAGAAAAUUAGGAUGGCCCUGCACAGCAAGGAUGACACACAAACCUGUGAAGCACUCCAUAUUUUU